This 2293-nucleotide long non-coding RNA is filed under the name Capsicum annuum. RNAcentral's name for it is "long non-coding RNA (CANN_LNC005747)". Lineage: Eukaryota; Viridiplantae; Streptophyta; Magnoliopsida; Solanales; Solanaceae. The record is from RNAcentral.
CUCUUCCUGUAUUCGGCCUGUUAUCUUUGUCGUUCCAUUUGUAGACGAUUACUCCAGAUUCAUCGCUCCAUUCUCCAUCGAUUCCUUGGUGGGGUGGUGCCAGGGAAAAUAGUCCUUUAUCUCCUGAGAUCAUCAAAUGCAAAUGUUCAUAUGGAUAUAUGAGGACCAAGAACGAAUAGUCGCAGAAGAAAUUAUACGAAUAGAAGCUAGAAUGUCAAAUGAUUCACUCAGUAAUCUCGCAUCAAUCUCAGACAACUGAAUUCAUUAGCUGUGAUAACUACUUACAUAGCUCCAGAGUCCAGCCCAAAACAGAACACAAAUCGUGGCAAUUCAAUGUCAAAAUGUACCGCGGACUACCCUUGGAAACUCCCAUCGUCACAGCCCAAGAACAUGGCACGUAUUUUCCACUUUGUCAAACUUAACAAUUUGUCCUUUGAGCUAUACCACCUUCGAACCUAAUAAGUGUGUACCAUCAACCGUGUUAACUUGUUAGCUAUAACCCCCUUGACGGAGGGCGGAUCAAGAAGGACUGACUGAUUAGGCAAAGCAAAUCCCACAUCGAAAUGGAAUAAAAAAAGUGAAGAGUUUUAUAACACAUAGCUCCACUUCAAAUGGCAUGCAAGCUUUUGAAGCUCAACGCGGUGUAGCCCGAAAGACAAUUCUAUGCUUGGGCCUAAGCCCAAAGCGGACAAUACAUGUCACUCAUGGACAUGAGUCGUGAACGCUAGCCUAUGUCCAAAAGUGUGUAUUUAUAUACCUCUUCUUCAAAACCUUGCUAGCUUAGAAGUCUGUCAAUCCUUAUUUUUUGCCUAUCUUAAUACUAGGAGUACUAGUCUACAACAAUUUCUUGUCUCCAAUAAAUAGUCAAAUCAUGUGAGGUAAAAGAUAAAACAAAGAACAUGUGUAGUUUAAUGGUCAAUAACAUGGGUAAGUCUCAAGUCAAUUCUUUGGACAAAGUUAAUUGUUACAAUGUUGUUGGUGUCAAAUAUACCGUGAAAUUAGUUGAGGUGUGCAAAAAUUGAUCUGGACACCACAAUUAUCAAAUAUGUAAAUAAAUAAAACAAAGGGAAGCAAAAACAAAAUAAAAAAAUCAAGAAUUGGGAAAGGAUGUACCAUUUGUGUGGCCAUGGAAAGAGCAUGCAAUGGGGGAAUUAUCUUUGUCUUCAUAAAAAGUAUUGCACCUCAAGCAUUUCUUCUUAUAAUUUUGGGCAUUCACAAUUUGUAAUCUUCUAAAUCCUUUGGAAAUUUUUUUUCUCCAACAAGAAUUUGGGAAUAAUAUAUUUUGAGGAUGAAAAACCAGAGUCAUGAGAAAGGGAUGCAAAAAGGAUAAUUGAAGAGAUAAAUAAACAUAAAAAGUAGAAUGAAAAUAUCUUGCUCAUAUAAGAUGAGGACAAAAGCCCAAAUACAAACUAAAGCCCAUUAAUUAUAGUAUAAUGUAUGUUUUGUAUAUGUUGCAUUGCAAAAAUAGAAGAUGACAUAUGUACUGUACCUAUGCAAUAGAAGAUGACAUAUUACUUUAUGUUCUCGAAAUAAAUUAUGAUCGAGUCAAUAGAGAACUUAUGAUAAUGUUGUCAUGUUAUUUGUGAGUAAUUCAACAGGACAUAUAUGUUGAAUAUAGCAUGAAAUUUUAUAUCGAUAUAAUCAAUGGCGGAUGUACAUAUAUUCCAGGGGGUUCGGAUGAAUCCUCUUCAUCAGAAAAUUAUACUAUUUUUACAUGGUAAAAAAAAAAAUUUAUGUAUAAAUAAUAGAGGCUGAACCCCCUUCGACUAGUCCGUAUAUGUACUAUUGAACCCCUCACUGAAAAUCCUGGAUCCGCCCCUGGUUAUAAUUUAUAUGUUAUCAUUUUGAAAUGUACUUUUUUUUUCCUUUUAUAUCUUUGAAAUCAUAAAAGAGAAGUAUGAUCAUGAGUGAAUAAGAUUAAAUAAAGGUAUUAUAAAUGAAAAUUUGAAUCUAUGUCAAUCGCAUAGAGUUUAUAACUAGGGUGAAUAUAGCAUAAAAUUAUAUCAUUUUGUUGUUUUUUUAAUGUUGAUUUUGAAAUUUAUUUUUUCCUUCUAUUUGUUGUGGCUUUGGAGUUUGGAAUCAUAAUAAUUUAGUAUGAUUUUGUGAGUAAUUCAACAUGACAGAUAAAUCGAGUAUAACAUGAUCAAAUUUGUUAUAAAUAAUUACAUGUUACAACCUGAGCCUUUUUUUCAUAAUAUAAUUUUAAAAUAUGAUUUCUAUGUACCAAAUACCUCACUUGCAUGUCACAAUUUACUAAUUUUGGAUCCGCUUGAUGUCAUCUUUGGCUCUAAAC